RNAcentral lists this ribosomal RNA (458 nucleotides) under uncultured bacterium. RNAcentral describes it as "bacterial SSU rRNA". It matches the Rfam family "Bacterial small subunit ribosomal RNA", at positions 28 to 499 of the family's 1533-position model. The record is from RNAcentral.
GACGAACGCUGGCGGCGCGCCUAACACAUGCAAGUCGAACGAGCGAGAGAGAGCUUGCUUUCUCGAGCGAGUGGCGAACGGGUGAGUAACGCGUGAGGAACCUGCCUCAAAGAGGGGGACAACAGUUGGAAACGACUGCUAAUACCGCAUAAGCCCACAGCUCGGCAUCGAGCAGAGGGAAAAGGAGCAAUCCGCUUUGAGAUGGCCUCGCGUCCGAUUAGCUAGUUGGUGAGGUAACGGCCCACCAAGGCAACGAUCGGUAGCCGGACUGAGAGGUUGAACGGCCACAUUGGGACUGAGACACGGCCCAGACUCCUACGGGAGGCAGCAGUGGGGAAUACUGCACAAUGGGGGAAACCCUGAUGCAGCGACGCCGCGUGGAGGAAGAAGGUCUUCGGAUUGUAAACUCCUGUUGUUGAGGAAGAUAAUGACGGUACUCAACAAGGAAGUGACGGCUA